This 435-nucleotide ribosomal RNA is filed under the name uncultured bacterium. Its description in RNAcentral is "partial 16S ribosomal RNA". It matches the Rfam family "Bacterial small subunit ribosomal RNA", at positions 29 to 507 of the family's 1533-position model. The record is from RNAcentral.
AGCGAACGCUGGCGGCAGGCUUAACACAUGCAAGUCGAACGGGCAUCUUCGGAUGUCAGUGGCAGACGGGUGAGUAACACGUGGGAACGUACCCUUCGGUUCGGAAUAACUCAGGGAAACUUGAGCUAAUACCGGAUACGCCCUUUUGGGGAAAGGUUUACUGCCGAAGGAUCGGCCCGCGUCUGAUUAGCUUGUUGGUGGGGUAACGGCCUACCAAGGCGACGAUCAGUAGCUGGUCUGAGAGGAUGAUCAGCCACACUGGGACUGAGGCACGGCCCAGACUCCUACGGGAGGCAGCAGUGGGGAAUAUUGGACAAUGGGCGCAAGCCUGAUCCAGCCAUGCCGCGUGAGUGAUGAAGGCCUUAGGGUUGUAAAGCUCUUUUGUCCGGGACGAUAAUGACGGUACCGGAAGAAUAAGCCCCGGCUAACUUCGUG